Small nuclear RNA from Jaculus jaculus (lesser Egyptian jerboa), 106 nucleotides. The record is from RefSeq and is a predicted model, not a curated record. NCBI's taxonomy places the organism in Eukaryota, Metazoa, Chordata, Mammalia, Rodentia, Dipodidae.
GUCCUCACUCUGGCAGCACAUAUACUAAAAUUGGAACGAUAUAAGAAGAUUAGCAUGGCCCCUGCACAAGGAUGACACGCACAUUCGUGAAGUGUUCCAUUUAUUU